This 1042-nucleotide long non-coding RNA is filed under the name Corvus moneduloides (New Caledonian crow). RNAcentral's name for it is "lncRNA (ENSCMUG00000017438.1)". The record is from RNAcentral. Lineage: Eukaryota; Metazoa; Chordata; Aves; Passeriformes; Corvidae.
CUAUUGUCAGCAAGAGAGUGGCCAUUUUUAAACUUAGGAAAUGCUUUCAUAGUUCUAUUGCAAAUAUGGUGUUGUGAAUCCUUGCUGUUACCUGUUUCUAAUCAAUCUGUUGUGGAAUCUUGCUAGACCUUCACUGAAGGUAUCUGAGAGCCUUGAAGUUCCUCAAGAUGGUUCAAAGGAGGAUCACAAAAGCAGAACUGCAGAAGAGUUACAAGGGUGAUAGGGUUGAAGCAACAGGAUGAGAGAUCUCAAGCAUGCUGCUAAAUAUUGUAGUCUGACAAAACUAUAUGGCUUCCUUUAUCAAGACAGCUGUGUUUUUACAUAAAUAAUCUUAAUUUGGCCUGCUCAAGGAUUACGCCUUGUACUCCAGCACACUACCUUGAAAGGUCACCUUGACUUCCCCAAGGAGUUUACUUCAAGGCAUUCAGGAUGCCAGUCCAGAAAGCCUCACAGACUGAGGUAGAUAAGAGGGCAGUUCCCUUUGACCAGGAGUACCUGCAGGAGAAGCUUGGACAGAGCUCUGAGGAAGAAUGCAGAAGAACCACAGUCACUGAAAUUCCUGGUCUCCUUAGCAACACAGGCUGCAAAGAGCUCACCAGUCUGGUGUUCUGCUGCAUGCAUGAGCUUCCAAUUCAACUGGAAGAACUUUGGUUUAGGAUUCAGAACUUCCCUUUGACCACUUCAAAAUACUGGUGAGGGAGACUCUUCUUUUGCAUAUGGUCUCAUAAAAGCUAUAAUUUCAAUGUUUAUCCUUGAAAUAUAUAACCAAGAGGAGCUUCUGAGAAAAGAAAAUUUUCGUGGCAGAAGACUGAACAACUUAUUCUGUUCCCCUGCACCAUGACCAUAGAACAAAAUAUCUUAAUACUGCAACUAAAUUCUUUAACAUAGCUCCCCUUAAUAACUUAAAAGGAUGCAAAAAUGUAUACAAGAGUAAUACUGUGUCUUUCCCAAAGCUUCUAGAAACUAAUCAUUUUUCUUCUGUUAUGAGGCAGAAAUGUGAGAAAUCUUACUACAGACACACCCGUCUGUGUCACUGUUGUGA